UUUAAUCGUAAGCCUUGAAGGUUCGUCGACUGGUUGGUUUUUGAGUUGACAACGACGUCAGUCUCUGGUGGUAAUCGAGAUUCCAUCAAGAGCUCAAGUCCAGUUUUGCUGCUCCAAAACAGGUAACCUUUCAUCAUUUUUAGUUUCAAAAUAUUUUUUUUCCUUUCUUUCAUUCUGCCAGGCGAUUCUGCUCUUAGCAUUUUAGUCGUAUAAUCAUGUCAUUCGCAAUCGUAGUUGCUGGGUUUGUUAGCUAUAGAGGUCUUAAAGACCAUAGAUUUUUUAAUGUUAAAGUUUCGUGCUUUUGAUUUUUGUUGGAGUAGCUAGUGUCCUGUUAAGGUUGGCUUCAAUGUUUAAAGUUUCAUUCUUUUGAAGUUUCGGGCUGUUGGAACUUUGUUUAUCUGAUUUUUUUGCGGUUAAAGUUUGUGUUUCAAUUUUGUUUAAUACGUUUUGAGCUGCUGAAUAUUGUUCACCUGAUAUCCGUGUUCCAUUUGUUGCGGAAUUACAAGUUUGAAUCUUUCAUUUCCUUUUUGAGUUUGUUUCAAGUCAGUAUUUCGUUUGUUUGAUCCCCAAAGAAAUGCAUUGAUUUUAUUAUAAAAGGGAAUGGAAAGGGUCUCUUUGAUGUCAAAAUCAGUACAUGGGGUGCAUUCUCUUUGAGUUGGGUCAUGUGGUUUUGUUUGGGCAUGAAGUUCUUGAAAUUGCUUGCAACUAUUUUCUUUCGUCUUUAGAAACAUGAGAAUGGCAUAUGGUUUGGGUGUUGAUUGGUUUACCUGAAAUACCCGACGCUAUCUUGAUUUUAGGGUUGGGGAAUGAUGAUAGUUUUCUUAGUUUAAGUGAAACCUCCCUUGCCUAUUUUAAUAUAUUGCAAUGGUUACAAACUGUUGCAAUAGAUACUGUUGCAACAAAGUUGAACCGUUGCAAUAUCAUCUAUUGCGACGACAUUAAACCGUUGCAAUAACAUCUAUUGCGACACAUUUGUACUAUUGCAACACUUUUUGAGUACCUAUUGUAAUGCUUUAUUAAUCUAUUGCAACAAUGAUUGCCAUGUGUUAUUAAAUUGAAACGAUUUAUAUAAAUAGUUGUAUUAAUGUAAAUUUUUAUUACAUAAUAAAUUUUAACACAAUAUAUAAACAUUACAAAACAAAAUCAUUCAUUAAUAAUCUCAAAAUUCAAAAUAUACAGCAAGCUAGUAAUUUCAACCCAAAAGUAAAAUGUAAUCAAGUCCAAAUGAUUAGUUAAGUUUUUACAUACUAGCAAGUUCAAGUUGCGAUAAGUUUCAAAAAAUUCAACACAAAACUAUUGAUGUUAGAGCAUUUAUCCACAACCCAAAAAUCUUCUUAAGGACGGUCAAUGUUUUCAUCAUUUUCUUCAUCUUCUCUUUCUUCAUUUUGAACAUCUAUAAAAAGAGAACAAAUAAUAUAAAUUAGCACUUAAAUAACAACAUAAAAAGGACUAUUCCACAACAAAAUAAGCACAUAAACCAUGUAUAAGUUAGCUAGUAAAGAGGCAAAUCCUCUCGACUGUCUAGCUCGUUGAAACAGCAAACUCCCCAAAGUGGUAGGCUUGUAUCUUUUCUUCUAGUGUAUCUGAAUUUACUCUUCCACCAAAAAUUGUAGCUUACUCUUUUCUGUAACUACAUGUUUAUUAAGCUUUUGCAGCUUUUAAGUUGGACCGCGCUAUUGAUGUUCAAAUUGUCUAACUUGAUUUUUUGUUUCAGGCAGGAGAGAUAGUAUCCUGCCACCAAGAAAACAGAAAGGAAGCCUCUAUGUCCCUUAUACACCUAGAACUGAAUCAACACAGAUGCAAAAGGCUCUUUGAAAUCCAUAAAGUGUGAUUCUCAAAUCCACAUAAUUUCA
Molecule: long non-coding RNA, 1853 nt
Filed under: Capsicum annuum
Lineage: Eukaryota; Viridiplantae; Streptophyta; Magnoliopsida; Solanales; Solanaceae
Description: long non-coding RNA (CANN_LNC001885)
Source: RNAcentral